Molecule: ribosomal RNA, 547 nt
Filed under: uncultured fungus
Lineage: Eukaryota; Fungi
Description: eukaryotic LSU rRNA
Rfam family: 5.8S ribosomal RNA (bases 179-332)
Source: RNAcentral
GAGAUAGGGUCUUCAUGGCCCGACCUCCAACCCUCUGUUGUUAAACUACCUUGUUGCUUUGGCGGGACCGUCUCGGUCUCCGAGCGCACUAACCCUCGGGUUGGUGAGCGCCCGCCAGAGUCCAACCAAACUCUUGUAUUAAACCAGUCGUCUGAGUAUAAAAUUUUAAUUAAAUUAAAACUUUCAACAACGGAUCUCUUGGUUCUCGCAUCGAUGAAGAACGCAGCGAAAUGCGAUAAGUAAUGUGAAUUGCAGAAUUCAGUGAAUCAUCGAAUCUUUGAACGCACAUUGCGCCCCUUGGUAUUCCGAGGGGCAUGCCUGUUCGAGCGUCAUUACACCACUCAAGCAUCGCUUGGUAUUGGGAACGGUCCGUCGAAAGGCGGGCCUUCCUCGAAGACCUCGGCGGGGUUCAACCAACUUCGGGCGUAGUAGAGUUAAAUCGAACGUCUUAUAAGCUUGGUCGGAUCUCAUUGCCGUUAAACCUUUAAAUUUUCUAGGUUGACCUCGGAUCAGGUAGGGAUACCCGCUGAACUUAAGCAUAUCAAUA